RNAcentral lists this unclassified non-coding RNA (28 nucleotides) under Mus musculus (house mouse). Its description in RNAcentral is "oocyte_clustered_small_RNA13982". The record is from RNAcentral. Lineage: Eukaryota; Metazoa; Chordata; Mammalia; Rodentia; Muridae.
UUUCCAGCCCUAAUUUCUGGAUGCACUU